This 739-nucleotide ribosomal RNA is filed under the name uncultured bacterium. RNAcentral's name for it is "bacterial SSU rRNA". It matches the Rfam family "Bacterial small subunit ribosomal RNA", at positions 8 to 796 of the family's 1533-position model. The record is from RNAcentral.
AGAGUUUGAUCCUGGCUCAGAGCGAACGCUGGCGGCAGGCCUAACACAUGCAAGUCGAGCGCCCCGCAGGGGAGCGGCAGACGGGAGAGUAACACGUGGGAACGUACCCUUCAGUUCGGAACAACCCAGGGAAACUUGGGCUAAUACCGGAUACGUCCGUAAGGAGAAAGAUUUAUCGCUGAAGGAUCGGCCCGCGUCUGAUUAGCUAGUUGGUGGGGUAAUGGCUCACCAAGGCUACGAUCAGUAGCUGGUCUGAGAGGAUGAUCAGCCUCACUGGGACUGAGAUACGGCCCAGACUCCUACGGGAGGCAGCAGUGGGGAAUAUUGGACAAUGGGCGCAAGCCUGAUCCAGCCAUGCCGCGUGGAUGAUGAAGGCCCUAGGGUUGUAAAGUCCUUUCGGCGGGGAAGAUAAUGACGGUACCCGCAGAAGAAGCCCCGGCUAACUUCGUGCCAGCAGCCGCGGUAAUACGAAGGGGGCUAGCGUUGCUCGGAAUCACUGGGCGUAAAGCGCACGUAGGCGGCUUUUUAAGUCGGGGGUGAAAUCCUGGAGCUCAACUCCAGAACUGCCUUCGAUACUGAGAAGCUUGAGUCCGGGAGAGGUGAGUGGAACUGCGAGUGUAGAGGUGAAAUUCGUAGAUAUUCGCAAGAACACCAGUGGCGAAGGCGGCUCACUGGCCCGGUACUGACGCUGAGGUGCGAAAGCGUGGGGAGCAAACAGGAUUAGAUACCCUAGUAGUCC